AAGCUUUUAAAUGCUCAAGUGUCAUAACUUUCCAAAGCUUCAAAAACUCUCCAACUUCUUCUUCUAAUCUUCUUGUUCAUCUCUACAAGUAAGAAGUGUUGUUUGCUUAAAUAUUCCACUCCUCUAAUCACCUCUUGUGUGUGUCCACUUUGGUUGAGAGGGUUGUCUCAAUAGUACCAAAGUGUGAGAGAAGGUUUUUGAGCUCAACCAUAAAACUCUAGUUUGGUUUUAUAGAGUUUCCGGGAAAACUCUUAGGUCGAAUCUACCUUGAAAGAUUUCUAGGUUUUUAAGAGUUCCUUGAUACUCUAAUGCACUAACUUACCCGUAAAAGUUAGAGGUUCUUAAGAGUGCCCUCAAUACUCUAAGGUGUGAGUCUACCCGUAAAAGACUGGUUCCUAAGCGAAGUAGCCUUAAAGCUUAGAGAGGUUUUUAAGAGUUCCUUGAUACUCUAAGGUACUAACUUACCCGCAAAAGUUAGAGGUUCUUAAGAGUGCCCUUGAUACUCUAAGGUGUGAGUCUACCCGUAAAAGACUAGUUCCUAAGCGAAGUUAGC
This 553-nucleotide long non-coding RNA is filed under the name Zostera marina. RNAcentral's name for it is "long non-coding RNA (ZMAR_LNC001704)". Lineage: Eukaryota; Viridiplantae; Streptophyta; Magnoliopsida; Alismatales; Zosteraceae. The record is from RNAcentral.